RNAcentral lists this ribosomal RNA (317 nucleotides) under uncultured bacterium. Its description in RNAcentral is "bacterial SSU rRNA". It matches the Rfam family "Bacterial small subunit ribosomal RNA", at positions 188 to 507 of the family's 1533-position model. The record is from RNAcentral.
CAUCACUCUAUUAUUAAAGCUUCGGCACCUGAAGAUGGGCGUGCGGCUGAUUAGGUAGUUGGCGGGGUAACGGCCCACCAAGCUCGAUCAGUAGCUGAUGUGAGAGCAUGAUCAGCCACACGGGCACUGAGACACGGGCCCGACUCCUACGGGAGGCAGCAGUAAGGAAUAUUGGUCAAUGGACGAAAGUCUGAACCAGCCAUGCCGCGUGGAGGAUGAAGGUCCUCUGGAUUGUAAACUUCUUUUAUUUGGGACGAAAAAAGGGCAUUCUUGCUCACUUGACGGUACCAGAUGAAUAAGCACCGGCUAACUCCGUG